This 589-nucleotide ribosomal RNA is filed under the name uncultured bacterium. RNAcentral's name for it is "partial 16S ribosomal RNA". It matches the Rfam family "Bacterial small subunit ribosomal RNA", at positions 355 to 1376 of the family's 1533-position model. The record is from RNAcentral.
UGGGGAAUCGUUCCGCAAUGGACGAAAGUCUGACGGAGCAACGCCGCGUGAGUGAAGAAGGUUUUCGGAUCGUAAAACUCUGUCUUUUGGGGCGAACGUGAGUAUGGUGAACAAUCAUAGUCAGUGACGGUACCAAAGGAGGAAGCCACGGCUAACUACGUGCCAGCAGCCGCGGUAAUACGUAGGUGGCAAGCGUUGUCCGGAAUUAUUGGGCGUAAAGAGCGCGUAGGCGGGAUAGUCAGUCUGUUGUAAAGUGCGGGGCUCAACCCCGUGAUGGCAAUGGAAACAGCUAUUCUUGAGUGCAGGAGAGGAAAGUGGAAUUCCCAGUGUAGCGGUGAAAUGCGUAGAUAUUGGGAGGAACACCAGUGGCGAAGGCGACUUUCUGGACUGUGUCUGACGCUGAGGCGCGAAAGCCAGGGGAGCGAACGGGAUUAGAUACCCCGGUAGUCCUGGCCGUAAACGAUGGGUACUAGGUGUGGGGGGUAUCGACCCCUUCCGUGCCGGAGUUAACGCAAUAAGUACCCCGCCUGGGGAGUACGGUCGCAAGACUGAAACUUAAAUGAAUUGACGGGGUCAUAGCUGUUUCCUG